RNAcentral lists this small nuclear RNA (107 nucleotides) under Myotis brandtii (Brandt's bat). The record is from RNAcentral. Lineage: Eukaryota; Metazoa; Chordata; Mammalia; Chiroptera; Vespertilionidae.
GUGUUUGCUUCGGCAGCACGUAUACUAAAAUUAGAACGAUACAGAGAAGAUUAGCAUGGCCCCUGCACAAGGAUGACACGCAAAUUCGUGAAGCGUUCCAUAUUUUU